Poecilia latipinna (sailfin molly) is the source of this 523-nucleotide long non-coding RNA. RefSeq lists it as uncharacterized. The record is from RefSeq and is a predicted model, not a curated record. NCBI's taxonomy places the organism in Eukaryota, Metazoa, Chordata, Actinopteri, Cyprinodontiformes, Poeciliidae. The transcript is spliced from 2 exons.
GGUUUUCUUCUUUUUCAGCUCUGACCAUCUGAGGGCGCCAGAGGCUGUUUCCUUGUCCUUGGUGGGUGUGUCAGCAGGCUCCGCGGUACGCACCUGGCUCAAAUCGUCAUCUAGAGGAGUAUUUAAGCGGCAGGCUCCCGCUCUUCACCGCCAGAGUGUUUUACCUAUUGUGGACAUCUUCAAGUUUUCCCCGGAGAACUCCUGUUGUCGAGCCUAGAGGGUAGUCCCCUCACGACGCUGGGAGCGAGACUCACCGGGAACUGGAGUCCUCCCACAUCCCUCUGUUUAAGAGCCCGCUGUGCGCCUCCGGCUGGAGUCCGCCCCGAAGACUCCUGGUCUCUCACUCUCACGAGUCGUUCCCUUCCUCGUCCCUCUCCGAGUCAGCCUCUACGCCUAGCCGCAACCUGGUACCGGAACCUUCCCCCAACCAGAAUUCUUUAUCACAACCGUGCCAGUCCUUCCACUGCAGCUUCCCGACUGUGGAUGUUUUGAACUUUAUUGUCAAUAAACAUCUAAAGUUUCA